RNAcentral lists this ribosomal RNA (257 nucleotides) under uncultured bacterium. RNAcentral's name for it is "partial 16S ribosomal RNA". It matches the Rfam family "Bacterial small subunit ribosomal RNA", at positions 1244 to 1500 of the family's 1533-position model. The record is from RNAcentral.
GAGAAGCGAGACGGAGACGUUAAGCGAACCCAAAAAAGUAAGUCUCAGUUCGGAUUGAAGGCUGAAAUUCGCCUUCAUGAAGCCGGAAUUGCUAGUAAUGGCAGGUCAGCAUACUGCCGUGAAUACGUUCCCGGGCCUUGUACACACCGCCCGUCACACCAUGAGAGUUGGGAAUACCCGAAGCCUGUGAGCUAACUGUAAGGAGGCAGCAGUCGAAGGUAGAAUCAAUGAUUGGGGUGAAGUCGUAACAAGGUAAC